Long non-coding RNA from Gopherus flavomarginatus (Mexican gopher tortoise), 666 nucleotides. RefSeq lists it as uncharacterized. The transcript is spliced from 4 exons. Lineage: Eukaryota; Metazoa; Chordata; Testudines; Testudinidae. The record is from RefSeq and is a predicted model, not a curated record.
GAACUGAAGGGACAAAGGAAUUAACCUGAAGGAAAAGGCAGGGGUGAGUCUGAACUGAGACAGGUGUCCAGUCUGUAAGAAGAAAUAUCUGGAACUCUGAGUCACAGAAACUCUGCAUCCAACCUAACUGAACAUUUAGGCAUCUUCCAGAAAGGCAUCAGUAUGGAUCUGAAGACAUCAAGAGAUGGCGAAUCAACCACUUCCACUUGGAGUUUUUUCCAACGGAGUUAUGCUCAUUCAUUCAAGGAACAGAACAACUUUCACCUCUGACUGAUGUGUUCAAUCAAACCAGCUUGAAUUCUGGAUAUGGACUAUUCACCACAAACUGCAUGGAAACAAUCCGCUGACCAAGCGUUACUUGCUGAAAUGAUUUUGGAAACAACUGAGGGGGUGGCAACCCAGAGAGUGACAAAGGAUUCCCGCCUUAUGUAAAAGAUAUAUAAAGAGGUGGAACAGAACAAAAGGAGGAGAGGAGCCAUCAUGAAGAAUCCCCUAGCUACCACCUGAGCUGGAACAAGAACUGUACCAGGGGAAAGAAUUGUGCCCAGGCCUGGAAGGUGUCCAGUCUGAGGAAAAAACUUACUGAAGCAUCUCUGAGGGUGAGAUUAUCUGUAUUCAGUUUGAUUAGACAUAGAUUUUUGCAUUUUAUUUUAUUUUGCUUGGUGA